AUUGAACGCUGGCGGCAGGCCUAACACAUGCAAGUCGAACGGUAACAGGAAGCAGCUUGCUGCUUUGCUGACGAGUGGCGGACGGGUGAGUAAUGUCUGGGAAACUGCCUGAUGGAGGGGGAUAACUACUGGAAACGGUAGCUAAUACCGCAUAACGUCGCAAGACCAAAGAGGGGGACCUUAGGGCCUCUUGCCAUCGGAUGUGCCCAGAUGGGAUUAGCUAGUAGGUGGGGUAACGGCUCACCUAGGCGACGAUCCCUAGCUGGUCUGAGAGGAUGACCAGCCACACUGGAACUGAGACACGGUCCAGACUCCUACGGGAGGCAGCAGUGGGGAAUAUUGCACAAAGGGCGCAAGCCUGAUGCAGCCAUGCCGCGUGUAUGAAGAAGGCCUUCGGGUUGUAAAGUACUUUCAGCGGGGAGGAAGGGAGUAAAGUUAAUACCUUUGCUCAUUGACGGUACCCGCAGAAGAAGCACCGGCUAACUCCGUG
RNAcentral lists this ribosomal RNA (490 nucleotides) under uncultured bacterium. RNAcentral describes it as "partial 16S ribosomal RNA". It matches the Rfam family "Bacterial small subunit ribosomal RNA", at positions 30 to 507 of the family's 1533-position model. The record is from RNAcentral.